AACAGGUUUCUGCUUCUGACAGACAUCU
This 28-nucleotide non-coding RNA is filed under the name Cricetulus griseus (Chinese hamster). Lineage: Eukaryota; Metazoa; Chordata; Mammalia; Rodentia; Cricetidae. The record is from RNAcentral.